Molecule: long non-coding RNA, 989 nt
Filed under: Marmota monax (woodchuck)
Lineage: Eukaryota; Metazoa; Chordata; Mammalia; Rodentia; Sciuridae
Source: RNAcentral
AAAAAAUGUUACUGAAAGCCCGUGGAAGCACACUUCAGGAGUCCCGUUGAUAGAAGGUCAAAGAGAGCCCUGCUGUGCGCCAUCAGGCAAAUGAGAUAGCCUCUCUGAAUCAAGCAUCCAUCCUGAGCUAAAAGCAAAGACGCUUAUACCUAUAUUCCCCAGAUACUGUGAAGAGUACAUCAGAAACAGCAUCUGCAUAGUGCCUGGCAGAGGAUUGAUGCUUCUUAAUAUUUAGUAGCUGAGGAUGACGACGAUUUUUGUGUCAGGUGGAAAUUGUGCUAGCUUUGGGGGUUCAAAGAUGAAGAAAUUAAGAGGCCCUUCUCAUCAGGAGGUUGCAGUUUUCUGGAAGACCCUGACAAGUCAGCAGAUCACCUAGGGUGGGAGUGGAGGUGGAAAGUGGUUUGGGAGCUAGCCUCGAAGUCCGCAACCUGAGUUGAGCCCUCGCAAGCUAUUUACCUACUGUUUGACCUUAGCCAAAUCUCUGCUUCAAGUUUACCCAUCUGUGAAGGAGGAGGAGGGAAAAGUAGCACUAAAUAGAGACCUGAGAUCCCUUCCAGCACUAACUUUUCAGAAACUCCUCCUGAGCCUUCUCUCCUUCCGAAUUGACUCACACUUUUUCCUGUCUUUGGCAUACUCUUAACCAUCUCUUUUUAAAAUCCUGUCCAUCCUCACCCUAGAAGCCAUCUUUUCCAGGUAGCCGCCUCUGAUUUCUUGCUCUUCCUGGGCCAAGUGUUUUCUCUGAGCUAUGACACUUUGUUUCACUUUUGAGACAUGACAUUUAUGUUGUCUGUCUUCCUUUAAUGAUAGCAGAAAUCCUUUAUUUAAACUGUGAAUAACUCCACACGAUCUCACCACAUCUCAGACUGGACCAAGCUUCCACAGCUGCAGCGAUUUCUUUCACACCAUUGUAUCAGUCAGGCUCCUGGCAUGAAAAAAAAAAAAAAAAUUGGCACUUUACAAAGAAGCAUGCAGGGUGUGGGAAACCACAG